UCAAAAAUGACACACAUGUACCGACACAUCUGUCCGGGUGCCCGCCAAGGCGGGUUGGCAGAUGGGGUACAUGGAGGCCUAACC
This 84-nucleotide small RNA is filed under the name Thiohalophilus thiocyanatoxydans. RNAcentral's name for it is "t44 RNA". It matches the Rfam family "t44 RNA". From Rfam's summary of the family: This family consists of a number of bacterial RNA genes of between 135 and 170 bases in length. The t44 gene is found between the map and rpsB genes in all species in the full alignment apart from Shigella flexneri. The record is from RNAcentral. Lineage: Bacteria; Pseudomonadati; Pseudomonadota; Gammaproteobacteria; Thiohalomonadales; Thiohalophilaceae.